AUUGAACGCUGGCGGCAGGCCUAACACAUGCAAGUCGAGCGGAUGAAGGGAGCUUGCUCCUGGAUUCAGCGGCGGACGGGUGAGUAAUGCCUAGGAAUCUGCCUGGUAGUGGGGGAUAACGUCCGGAAACGGGCGCUAAUACCGCAUACGUCCUGAGGGAGAAAGUGGGGGAUCUUCGGACCUCACGCUAUCAGAUGAGCCUAGGUCGGAGUAGCUAGUUGGUGGGGUAAAGGCCUACCAAGGCGACGAUCCGUAACUGGUCUGAGAGGAUGAUCAGUCACACUGGAACUGAGACACGGUCCAGACUCCUACGGGAGGCAGCAGUGGGGAAUAUUGGACAAUGGGCGAAAGCCUGAUCCAGCCAUGCCGCGUGUGUGAAGAAGGUCUUCGGAUUGUAAAGCACCUUAAGUUGGGAGGAAGGGCAGUAAGUUAAUACCUUGCUGUUUUGACGUUACCAACAGAAUAAGCACCGGCUAACUUCGUG
RNAcentral lists this ribosomal RNA (484 nucleotides) under uncultured bacterium. RNAcentral's name for it is "partial 16S ribosomal RNA". It matches the Rfam family "Bacterial small subunit ribosomal RNA", at positions 30 to 507 of the family's 1533-position model. The record is from RNAcentral.